GUGGGGAAUUUUGGACAAUGGGGGCAACCCUGAUCCAGCCAUGCCGCGUGCGGGAAGAAGGCCUUCGGGUUGUAAACCGCUUUUGUCAGGGAAGAAAUCCUUUGGGUUAAUACCUCGGAGGGAUGACGGUACCUGAAGAAUAAGCACCGGCUAACUACGUGCCAGCAGCCGCGGUAAUACGUAGGGUGCGAGCGUUAAUCGGAAUUACUGGGCGUAAAGCGUGCGCAGGCGGUUUUGUAAGAUCGAUGUGAAAUCCCCGGGGACAAACUGGGAACUGCAUUGGUGACUGCAAGGCUGGAGUGCGGCAGAGGGGGAUGGAAUUCCGCGUGUAGCAGUGAGAUGCGUAGAUAUGCGGAGGAACACCGAUGGCGAAGGCAAUCCCCUGGGCCUGCACUGACGCUCAUGCACGAAAGCGUGGGGAGCAAACAGGAUUAGAAACCCUGGUAGUCC
This 450-nucleotide ribosomal RNA is filed under the name uncultured bacterium. RNAcentral describes it as "partial 16S ribosomal RNA". It matches the Rfam family "Bacterial small subunit ribosomal RNA", at positions 354 to 796 of the family's 1533-position model. The record is from RNAcentral.